Arabis alpina (gray rockcress) is the source of this 80-nucleotide non-coding RNA. The record is from Rfam. Lineage: Eukaryota; Viridiplantae; Streptophyta; Magnoliopsida; Brassicales; Brassicaceae.
AGGCUGUGAUGAAUGAGAUUGCUAUGCACCACUCUGAUCUAGUGCUGAUAUUCAUCUCAACCCAUAAUUUUUCUGAGCCU